Molecule: ribosomal RNA, 253 nt
Filed under: uncultured bacterium
Lineage: Bacteria
Description: partial 16S ribosomal RNA
Rfam family: Bacterial small subunit ribosomal RNA
Source: RNAcentral
UACAUGUGGGGCAAGCGUUGUUCGGAAUUACUGGGCAUAAAGGGUGCGUAGGUGGUUUGUUAAGUCAGGGGUGAAAUCCCGCGGCCCAACCGUGGAACUGCCUUUGAUACUGGCGAACUUGAGUGCGUGAGGGGUAGGGGGAACGAGCAGUGUAGCGGUGAAAUGCGUAGAUAUCGAGAGGAACACCUGCGGCGAAGGCGGGUUGCUGGGCUGACACUGACGCUGAGGCGCGAAAGCUAGGGGAGCGAACGGG